UACGGAAGGCAGCAGUGGGGAAUAUUGCACAAUGGGCGCAAGCCUGAUGCAGCCAUGCCGCGUGUAUGAAGAAGGCCUUCGGGUUGUAAAGUACUUUCAGUCGUGAGGAAGGUGUUAAGGUUAAUAACCUUAGCAAUUGACGUUAGCGACAGAAGAAGCACCGGCUAACUCCGUGCCAGCAGCCGCGGUAAUACGGAGGGUGCGAGCGUUAAUCGGAAUUACUGGGCGUAAAGGGCACGCAGGCGGUUAAUUAAGUUGGAUGUGAAAUCCCCGGGCUUAACCUGGGAAUGGCAUUCAAGACUGGUUAGCUAGAGUCUUGUAGAGGGGGUAGAAUUCCAUGUGUAGCGGUGAAAUGCGUAGAGAUGUGGAGGAAUACCGGGUGGCGAAGGCGGGCCCCUGGGACAAAGGACUGACGCUCAUGUGCGAAAGCGUGGGGAGCAAACAGGGAUUAGAUACC
This 457-nucleotide ribosomal RNA is filed under the name uncultured bacterium. Its description in RNAcentral is "bacterial SSU rRNA". It matches the Rfam family "Bacterial small subunit ribosomal RNA", at positions 340 to 786 of the family's 1533-position model. The record is from RNAcentral.